Molecule: ribosomal RNA, 220 nt
Filed under: uncultured bacterium
Lineage: Bacteria
Description: partial 16S ribosomal RNA
Rfam family: Bacterial small subunit ribosomal RNA
Source: RNAcentral
GCAAGUCGAGCGCACCCUUCGGGGCGAGCGGCGGACGGGUUAGUAACGCGUGGGAAUAUACCCUUCACUACGGAAUAGCCUCGGGAAACUGAGAGUAAUACCGUAUACGCCCUUCGGGGGAAAGAUUUAUCGGUGAUGGAUUAGCCCGCGUAAGAUUAGAUAGUUGGUGGGGUAAUGGCCUACCAAGCCUACGAUCUAUAGCUGGUUUGAGAGGAUGAUC